This 767-nucleotide ribosomal RNA is filed under the name uncultured bacterium. RNAcentral's name for it is "SSU rRNA". It matches the Rfam family "Bacterial small subunit ribosomal RNA", at positions 74 to 853 of the family's 1533-position model. The record is from RNAcentral.
GCCCUUUCGGGGGUACACGAGCGGCGAACGGGUGAGUAACACGUGGGUGACCUGCCCUCCACUCUGGGAUAAGCCCGGGAAACUGGGUCUAAUACCGGAUAGGACACAUGGAUGCAUGUCUGUGUGUGGAAAGUUUUUUCGGUGGGGGAUGGGCCCGCGGCCUAUCAGCUUGUUGGUGGGGUGAUGGCCUACCAAGGCGGUGACGGGUAGCCGGCCUGAGAGGGCGACCGGCCACACUGGGACUGAGACACGGCCCAGACUCCUACGGGAGGCAGCAGUGGGGAAUAUUGCGCAAUGGGCGGAAGCCUGACGCAGCGACGCCGCGUGGGGGAUGACGGCCUUCGGGUUGUAAACCUCUUUCGCCAGGGACGAAGAGCGAUUGACGGUACCUGGAGAAGAAGCACCGGCCAACUACGUGCCAGCAGCCGCGGUAACACGUAGGGUGCGAGCGUUGUCCGGAAUUAUUGGGCGUAAAGAGCUCGUAGGCGGUGUGUCGCGUCGGCCGUGAAAACUUGGGGCUUAACUCUGAGCAUGCGGUCGAUACGGGCAUCACUUGAGUUCGGCAGGGGAGACUGGAAUUCCUGGUGUAGCGGUGAAAUGCGCAGAUAUCAGGAGGAACACCGGUGGCGAAGGCGGGUCUCUGGGCCGAUACUGACGCUGAGGAGCGAAAGCGUGGGGAGCGAACAGGAUUAGAUACCCUGGUAGUCCACGCCGUAAACGUUGGGCGCUAGGUGUGGGGACCAUUCCACGGUUUCUGUGCCGCAGCU